Callithrix jacchus (white-tufted-ear marmoset) is the source of this 296-nucleotide unclassified non-coding RNA. It matches the Rfam family "Metazoan signal recognition particle RNA". From Rfam's summary of the family: The signal recognition particle (SRP) is a universally conserved ribonucleoprotein. Lineage: Eukaryota; Metazoa; Chordata; Mammalia; Primates; Cebidae. The record is from Ensembl.
GCCAGGCACAGUGGCAUGUGCUUGUAUUCCCAGCUACCUGGGAGGCUGAAGUGGGAGGCUUGAGCCCAGGAGUUCUGGGCUGUAGUGCGCUAUGCUGAUUGGGUGUUUGCACUAAGUUCGGCAUCAAUAUGGUGACCUCCUGGGAGUGGGGGACCACCAGGUUGCCUAAGGAGGGGUAAACCGGCCCAGGUCAGAAAUGGAGCAGGUCAAAACUCCCGUGCUGAUUGGUAUUGGGAUCACACCUGUGAAUAGCCACUGCACUCCAGCCUGGGCAACAUAGUGAGACUCUGUCUCUG